RNAcentral lists this ribosomal RNA (1436 nucleotides) under Patelloida saccharinoides. Its description in RNAcentral is "16S ribosomal RNA". It matches the Rfam family "Bacterial large subunit ribosomal RNA", at positions 419 to 2925 of the family's 2925-position model. The record is from RNAcentral. Lineage: Eukaryota; Metazoa; Mollusca; Gastropoda; Lottiidae.
GAUUGAUGUAGACAAGCCCUUGGUGGGUUAUACUAAAGAAUGAACAGAAACGUCAUGUAGCCGGAGUAGCGGGAGCGAAAAGGGUAGGAGGAAGAGAGUACCGGAGGGGAAGAGUUGUGUGCUCACAACAAAAAAAAUAAAGGAAUAAAAAAGUAAAGUUUAGAGCUUGUACCUUUUGCAUUAUGGUCAGAUAAAAGAGUGUCCAAAUGGGUAGCCCCGAAUUGUUGGGAUCUACCUUACAGGAGGAAGGGUGGCGUUGUAAGGCCACGGACUUAUCUAAAGGUAGGGGCGAGAUACCUGCCGCACAACAGGAUAGCUGGUUUUCCGGGAAAGGCACCUAAGUGCCCAGGUCUUCAGGAUGUCUUAGAGAAGAGGCUUAGGUAUUUGUGAAGGCUUGAUGGGGGGGGGAGGCUAAGCUCUCCUCGCAAGGUUAAGAGAGAAUAAAGAUGAGGGGCCUAAGUAGGCUUAACAGUGGCCAUCUUGAAAAGUUUGUUGCAGAAAACCCCAGUCAUCGGUUUAAAUUAUUAAUAAUCUCUAUUUUGAUACCGGAAUGUUGUGGGGAAUUGUGUCUGCAAUUAAGAAUUUCUGAAUUAGUAAUUGAGGGUUUAUAUAGUUUUGAAGCACAUGUUAAAAGCUUCAAAUCAGAAAAGAAAAGAGCCCAGAUUAAUCGCCGUAAAGGAACUCGGCAAACUUAGCCAUCACGGCUGUUUAUCAAAAACAUCGCCUCCUGCUUUUCACAGGAGGUCUCGUCUGCACAAUGACCUGCGGGUUCAAUUGCCGCGGUACCCUGACCGUGCUAAGGUAGCGUAAUCAUUAGCCUAUUAAUUGUUGGCCUGUAUGAAUGGCAUAACGCUGGUGGCGCUGUCUCUACGGUGAUCUAUUGAAUUUAACUUCUUGGUGAAAAGGCCAAGAUGCUUCUAAAAGACGAUAAGACCCUGUCGAACUUUAGGCUAACCGUCGAUGCGGGGUGUUUAGUCAUCUUCGUCGGCGUCUAACCUUUGGUUGGGGAAACCGAGGACCAAACAAAGCGUCCGUCCCCCCCACUGCUUAAGCCAAAAGGUUAAUUAUAAAAAGGGGUUAGUAUAAAGAUCUGGCGGGAUGAGAGUUAUUAAGGUUGAUCCGGAAACUUGUGUUUCGACUAUGGGAAAAGUUACCGCAGGGAUAACAGCGUAAUCCUCUCGGAGAGACCACAUUAAUGAGGGGGUUUGCGACCUCGAUGUUGGCUUGGGGCGUCCUAGAAGUGCAGGGGCUUCUAACGGUUGGUCUGUUCGACCAUUAAUGCCCUACAUGAGCUGAGUUCAGAUCGGCGUGAGCUAGGUCGGCUUCUAUCUUUAGGAGUGUUUGGCUAGCCUUUUGUACGAAAGGACUUAGGCUAGGGAAAAUUUCCGAUAAACGUGAUUUCGUAUAAGGUUUAACUAAGUAUAUGACAAGUGUGA